This 496-nucleotide ribosomal RNA is filed under the name uncultured bacterium. RNAcentral's name for it is "bacterial SSU rRNA". It matches the Rfam family "Bacterial small subunit ribosomal RNA", at positions 29 to 518 of the family's 1533-position model. The record is from RNAcentral.
AUGAACGCUAGCGACAGGCCUAACACAUGCAAGUCGGGGGGCGAGCACAAGGAGCAAUCUGAGGUGGCGACCGGCGCACGGGUGAGUAACACGUAUGCAACCUGCCUGUAAGCGGGGAAUAACCCGUUGAAAGACGGACUAAUACCGCAUAAUACUAAAUUACUGCAUGGUAAUUUAUUUAAACAUUUAUGGCUUACAGAUGGGCAUGCGCAUGAUUAGCUAGUUGGAGAGGUAACGGCUCCCCAAGGCAACGAUCAUUAGGGGUUCUGAGAGGAAGGUCCCCCACACUGGUACUGAGACACGGACCAGACUCCUACGGGAGGCAGCAGUGAGGAAUAUUGGUCAAUGGACGAGAGUCUGAACCAGCCAAGUCGCGUGCAGGAAGAAUGUCCCUAUGGAUUGUAAACUGCUUUUGCAGGGGAAUAAAGUGCAUCACGUGUGAUGUUUUGUAUGUACUCUGCGAAUAAGGAUCGGCUAACUCCGUGCCAGCAGCCGC